This 1082-nucleotide ribosomal RNA is filed under the name Salmonella enterica. Its description in RNAcentral is "partial 23S ribosomal RNA". It matches the Rfam family "Bacterial large subunit ribosomal RNA", at positions 711 to 1706 of the family's 2925-position model. The record is from RNAcentral. Lineage: Bacteria; Pseudomonadati; Pseudomonadota; Gammaproteobacteria; Enterobacterales; Enterobacteriaceae.
AGACCCGAAACCCGGUGAUCUAGCCAUGGGCAGGUUGAAGGUUGGGUAACACUAACUGGAGGACCGAACCGACUAAUGUUGAAAAAUUAGCGGAUGACCUGUGGCUGGGGGUGAAAGGCCAAUCAAACCGGGAGAUAGCUGGUUCUCCCCGAAAGCUAUUUAGGUAGCGCCUCGUGAAUUCAUCUCCGGGGGUAGAGCACUGUUUCGGCUAGGGGGCCAUCCCGGCUUACCAACCCGAUGCAAACUGCGAAUACCGGAGAAUGUUAUCACGGGAGACACACGGCGGGUGCUAACGUCCGUCGUGAAGAGGGAAACAACCCAGACCGCCAGCUAAGGUCCCAAAGUCAUGGUUAAGUGGGAAACGAUGUGGGAAGGCCCAGACAGCCAGGAUGUUGGCUUAGAAGCAGCCAUCAUUUAAAGAAAGCGUAAUAGCUCACUGGUCGAGUCGGCCUGCGCGGAAGAUGUAACGGGGCUAAACCAUGCACCGAAGCUGCGGCAGCGAACGUAUCACCCAAGACAACUUUACGGAGUUGACGAUUGACGGAGCGAAGCGACGUCAAAGCGUUCAUUAAAGUCGAGUUGGCUUAGGGAUACGUUCGUUGGGUAGGGGAGCGUUCUGUAAGCCUGUGAAGGUGUGUCGUGAGGCAUGCUGGAGGUAUCAGAAGUGCGAAUGCUGACAUAAGUAACGAUAAAGCGGGUGAAAAGCCCGCUCGCCGGAAGACCAAGGGUUCCUGUCCAACGUUAAUCGGGGCAGGGUGAGUCGACCCCUAAGGCGAGGCCGAAAGGCGUAGUCGAUGGGAAACGGGUUAAUAUUCCCGUACUUGGUGUUACUGCGAAGGGGGGACGGAGAAGGCUAUGUUGGCCGGGCGACGGUUGUCCCGGUUUAAGCGUGUAGGUGUGUGUUCCAGGUAAAUCCGGUUCACUUUAACACUGAGGCGUGACGACGAGGCACUACGGUGCUGAAGCAACAAAUGCCCUGCUUCCAGGAAAAGCCUCUAAGCAUCAGGUAACACGAAAUCGUACCCCAAACCGACACAGGUGGUCAGGUAGAGAAUACCAAGGCGCUUGAGAGAAUUCGGGUG